AAAUAACAGAUUAAAUAUUAUAUUUUUUAUAUAUUUAGGCACUGUAUUUUUUUCUCAUUUACAGAUUUUGUCGUUUGAAAACUUGAUAACAAAUUAAAUGAGAAUUAUUUGGAAACAUAUAUAGCAGAUUAAAUAUUUCUUUUUAUUUACAUAUUUAGCCAUUGCAUUUCUUUCUUAUUUACAAAUCUGCCACUUUACUUAAAAUCAAAAAUUUAAAUUAAUUAAUUAUAAUGAGUAUAUACAAUAUACUAGGUACCCAAAAAAUAUUGUAUAUAUUAGGUAUAUUUCGGUGAUUGGGUAUAUUUGGGUGAUUGAGUAUAUUUUUGGUAUUUCAGAUUUUUUAUAAGUUUUGAGUUCGGGUUUUUGGAUUUAAUUUUAGGUUUCGGAUAAAAAAAUUUAGAUUUUCGGAAAAUAUAAUUCGGGAAUUCAGGUAUAUUUUGGGUAUUUGGGUCUGAUUUUGAGUGAACGUUUGGAUAUUUUUGCGGUUCUUCGAGUAUUUUUAGAGUUUUCGGAUCCAAUUAGGGUAUUUAUGAUCUUUUUUUGGACUUAAAUACCUGAACCGACCCGAUCUAAAAUAUACCUGAUAAUUACGGGGAUUGGAAUUAUAGGCCCGAACCGGUAAGGCCCGGUUCGGAACCGAUCCGAAAAUUAUAUGUACAUAUAUGGGUCCAAAUUUCGAAGACCUAAAAGAUCCGGAUCUAACGACACCCGGCCCAAGGAUCCGGAUGCCCAUGGCUAGUAUGAAAAGCCUAAAUUGCAUAUCAACCCUUUUGUCUCCUAAUGUGAGCUGGUUGAUUGGUUUCCAACUGGUAAAUAGUAUGUCAACAUUUGACAUAACGAACCUACACACAUUCACUCAUUUUAUAAUCUUCCUUAGUUUGAAUGACUUGAGGAGCUAAGGAUAACUGUGAGUGACCUUCAUGACAUCUAUCAUACAAAGGACUUUCGCUCCUUCUAACAAUUCGUAGAAUAUCUUUGAAUGAUUGCAUAUCGGAUCUACUACAUUUUCAUAACUACCAUCUUACUGAUAGCUAUGAUAACUCACAUUAUCACCAAAUGCAUCAUUCACCAUUUCUACAUAUCUAUUCUACAAUAUUACUUAAAUGUGUCAGAUAAACAUAACUCGUUCCUAAUGCUAUGUCAAUCUCUAUCCUGUACGAAACAUAAUAGUCUUGCAUAAAUCUUUUAAUAUAUAUAUAUAUAUAUAUAUAUAUAUGUUUCAAAAUUCAUUAUUCCGAGAAAAAUUUAUCAUUGUUGCAAACACUGCAAGGGAAAAAGAACUGACUAUUUUCUCUGCACUAAAAGCUGACUAUUUACAAACGUCAUAAAUUGCUCUACUCCUGCUUUUAACUCUUCCAAGACGUUUCCCGUUUUUUCACGAUCCUCUUGUACAUUCAAUCUCAGAAAUUAGUAUAGUUUGUAAUUGCCCGCCAUUAUAUCAAGUCACAAUUUUGUUUCUUUUUUGUUCUUCCACGACUGAUGACGAUAUAAGAAAUGUGACAAUUUAUUCUAUAUAUAAAAUAUUUACCGACGAUUUUUCUACUUAUUUACAACUGAUUUUACGACUAAUAUAAUCAGUCGUAAAAAACGGUAUACCAACCUAAGAACGACUUAUACAUGUUUUGUACCCGUAUUCUGCGACUUCGAAGCAACGAUUUCACUAUUGAUUUUGCGACUAAUAUAAUCAGUAGUAAAAAACAGGUACACCAACCUUAGAGGGAUUUCCACGUGUUUUAUAUCCGUUUGUUGCGACUGCAAAUCAAUUCUUUUACCACAAAAUCAUACGGUCGUUAAACGGUUGCUAAAUUUGCGUGCGACUGAUAAUUGACCCCGUUUACUGACCUCAAAUAAGUACCAAAUAGUCGUACAUCGCGACCAAUUUGCAACGUUUUUCGUAGUAGCAAAUUAGCUACUAAAUAGUGACUUAUUGUUUGGUCGUAAGUCGCUAAUCCGUCGGUAAACAGUCGCCACUUUUAGGGACUGCGUUAGUAGUUGCCAAAAUCAGUCGGAAAAUACAUGUUUUGUUGUAGUGGAAAACACCAAUUGAUACUUAUAAUGUAUAUAUACAACAUACUUAAAUCAGGAUAAAAUACAAUAUUUUAAUUUUAGAAUUGACCUAAUUAUAUGUUCACUGUACACGCCAAACUAUAUAAGAAAAUUUAAUAUCAUUUACGUUUUGUGAGCAAAACGGAAGAAUAUCUUAAUUUUAAUGAAUGUAAUCGCAAAUGAAUAAUUAUAAAUGCUAAGUUCUAAUUAUGAAAAGAAAGAAAUCAAAUCAUGAAUUUUGUUGUGUGUAAAAUGUACUUUUAUCACUUUAACAUGUGUCACUUUUAUCAAAAUAUAUUUUUUAUCAACUUUACAUAUCUCGGUUUAAUCAACAUAAGAUAUAUUACUUUUUUUUUUUGUAACUGAAGAUAUAUUACUUUCUUAGUAAAACAAAGUAUUUUAAAAUGAUAUUAUCCAUGAACUAAAUUGCCAAUUCCAAGCAUACUCCAGAAAUACAUUAUAUAAGCAUUUGAGCAAAGAUGUAUAUAUUAUUCAAAUUUUAUCAAAACAUAUUUACAAGCCGUAAACCAUUCCUCAUAUCACAAAACUUUCAGGCAAAAAAGAAAAACAUGGCGGAAUCAAAAAAAAUCUUCAUCGUUUUUGUUAUUUGUCUCUUAUGCACAUUGUUGGUGAGCGUCUCUGGAAUACAGGUCAAACCAUCAUGCACGACAUCGAUAGAAUGUGAGUUGGUGUGUUUUAGAAGAACAGGGAGAAGAGAUGGUGUAUGUGAGGGUGGAAUGUGCGCUUGUCUGUCCCCAAAACCCAAGACGGAGUUGACCAAGACCAUACUGUGCAAGAAGGACCGUGACUGUCCCAGUUCUAGUGAAUGCCCUAAAGACUUCUAUUACUCUUGUCUUCAUGGAGAAUGUACUUGCAUUGCAGUAUAAAUCGAUUAAAAUAUAUCUAAUAUAUAUAUACUGCUUAUCCUACUGGAUAAUAUGCAUCUUUGUUGACGCGAAA
Brassica napus (rape) is the source of this 3006-nucleotide long non-coding RNA. RefSeq lists it as uncharacterized. The transcript is spliced from 2 exons. Lineage: Eukaryota; Viridiplantae; Streptophyta; Magnoliopsida; Brassicales; Brassicaceae. The record is from RefSeq and is a predicted model, not a curated record.